AUACGUAGGGUGCAAGCGUUAAUCGGAAUUACUGGGCGUAAAGGGUGCGCAGGCGGCCUGGCAAGAAAGGUGUGAAAUCCCAGGGCUUAACCUUGGAAUGGCACUUUUAACUGCCAAGCUAGAGUAUGUCAGAGGGGGGUAGAAUUCCACGUGUAGCAGUGAAAUGCGUAGAGAUGUGGAGGAAUACCGAUGGCGAAGGCAGCCCCCUGGGAUAAUACUGACGCUCAGGCACGAAAGCGUGGGGAGCAAACAGGAUUAGAUACCCUGGUAGUCCACGCCCUAAACGAUGUCAACUAGCUGUUGGGGCCUUCGGGCCUUAGUAGCGCAGCUAACGCGUGAAGUUGACCGCCUGGGGAGUACGGUCGCGAGAUUAAA
Molecule: ribosomal RNA, 375 nt
Filed under: uncultured bacterium
Lineage: Bacteria
Description: bacterial SSU rRNA
Rfam family: Bacterial small subunit ribosomal RNA
Source: RNAcentral